UUUUAUACUUUAUAGUAAAUUAUAAUUGAUGGCUGAUUUUUACUUGUCAUCGUUGUAAGAACUCAUUUUUGCCCGGCCCGUCAAUAAAAUAAAACCAAAUGAAAAAACAAUUAAGCAGUCCAGUUUACAACCUAGCCCAAACCUAAACCCAUUAAGCUUAGCUCCAACCUAAUCAGCCGAAUCACUUAACCCUAAGCCCACUAGCCUUAACCACAAGCAGAAACCCUAGCAGCUAAGGUGAGCCUCCAGCGCCGCAGCCACCAGGGCCUUCCCUCGGCCCCACGAGCCUUCACAUGCCUCAGCCGCCGCUCCAGCAAGCCAUCAAGCCGCCGACGCCAACACACAUGUACGUUCCCCCCACGCGCGCCUGCCUCUUCACGCACAGCCUCCGUACAUGCGCGCCCGCGCACCUCCGUACCCGUACCUGCACAACAAACUAGUAGCAAACAUAAAGAGAAAAGGAAAAAUAACAAACAAAAAGGCAAUAGAAAAAAGGAAAAUAGAAAAGGAGCAGAGAAAAGAGAUGUAUUUUGAAUUUAUUUAUGAUUUUUCUUUUUCGCUUUGGCUAUAAAAAGCUGAUUCAUCUUUCGUACCAAGGGGGAGGAUUGUAUUAAAAAACGAUUGAAAGAAAAAGCAAUAAAAAAAACAACAGUCUUUGAAGGUGAUUUUCCAGUUUUUUUCUCUUGAUUUCAUCAUUCUCUGAUUUCUUUUUUUCUUUUAUCUAUUGUUCGAGAAAAGGGAACGAAAGGGGUGAAGGUUUUUUACCUUUGUUGCGAAGCCGAACCCUCGUCCUCUUCGUUGUGAUCAGAGAAAGGGUGGGGGAUCGGAGGUCUUUUAUGCGGUUGGGGUUGAAGCGGCGCUGAGAGAAGGGGCGUUUUUUUUAUGUUUUUUUAUUUU
This 897-nucleotide long non-coding RNA is filed under the name Gossypium barbadense (sea-island cotton). RNAcentral describes it as "long non-coding RNA (GBAR_LNC013509)". The record is from RNAcentral. Lineage: Eukaryota; Viridiplantae; Streptophyta; Magnoliopsida; Malvales; Malvaceae.